Molecule: small nucleolar RNA, 136 nt
Filed under: Mola mola (ocean sunfish)
Lineage: Eukaryota; Metazoa; Chordata; Actinopteri; Tetraodontiformes; Molidae
Description: Small nucleolar RNA SNORA30/SNORA37 family (ENSMMOG00000001488.1)
Source: RNAcentral
ACAGCAUCUUAAACAGGUCGUGGUCUCUGAGCAGUAGGCCAGGAUUUGGUAGCUGGUGCUGAAAGCAAUUCUCUCUUGCAACACUCCCGCUAGCAUCCUUUGGGCUUUUUGGGACUUUUCUGGGAGAGAAACAAAC